Ochotona princeps (American pika) is the source of this 107-nucleotide small nuclear RNA. The record is from RefSeq and is a predicted model, not a curated record. Lineage: Eukaryota; Metazoa; Chordata; Mammalia; Lagomorpha; Ochotonidae.
GUGCUCACUUUGGCAGCACAUAUACUAAAAGUGGAAUGAUACAGAGAACAUCAACACAACCCCUGCGCAAGAAUGACAUGCAAAUUCCUGAAACAUUCCAUAAUUUA